UGACGAGUGGCGGACGGGUGAGUAAUGUCUGGGAAACUGCCCGAUGGAGGGGGAUAACUACUGGAAACGGUAGCUAAUACCGCAUAACGUCGCAAGACCAAAGAGGGGGACCUUAGGGCCUCUUGCCAUCGGAUGUGCCCAGAUGGGAUUAGCUAGUAAGUGGGGUAAUGGCUCACCUAAGCGACGAUCCCUAGCUGGUCUGAGAGGAUGACCAGCCACACUGGAACUGAGACACGGUCCAGACUCCUACGGGAGGCAGCAGUGGGGAAUAUUGCACAAUGGGCGCAAGCCUGAUGCAGCCAUGCCGCGUGUAUGAAGAAGGCCUUCGGGUUGUAAAGUACUUUCAGCGGGGAGGAAGGGAGUAAAGUUAAUACCUUUGCUCAUUGACGUUACCCGCAGAAGAAGCACCGGCUAACUCCGUGCCAGCAGCCGCGGUAAUACGGAGGGUGCAAGCGUUAAUCGGAAUUACUGGGCGUAAAGCGCACGCAGGCGGUUUGUUAAGUCAGAUGUGAAAUCCCCGGGCUCAACCUGGGAACUGCAUCUGAUACUGGCAAGCUUGAGUCUCGUAGAGGGGGGUAGAAUUCCAGGUGUAGCGGUGAAAUGCGUAGAGAUC
Molecule: ribosomal RNA, 613 nt
Filed under: uncultured Pseudomonadota bacterium
Lineage: Bacteria; Pseudomonadati; Pseudomonadota
Description: bacterial SSU rRNA
Rfam family: Bacterial small subunit ribosomal RNA
Source: RNAcentral